CACGUAGGGGCCAAGCGUUGUCCGGAUUCAUUGGGCGUACAGAGCUCGUAGGCGGUUCAGUUAGUCGGGUGUGAAAUCUCCGGGCUCAACCCGGAGGGGCCACCCGAUACUGCUGUGACUUGAGUCCGGUAGGGGAGUGGGGAAUUCCUGGUGUAGCGGUGAAAUGCGCAGAUAUCAGGAGGAACACCGGUGGCGAAGGCGCCACUCUGGGCCGGUACUGACGCUGAGGAGCGAAAGCGUGGGUAGCAAACAGG
This 254-nucleotide ribosomal RNA is filed under the name uncultured bacterium. Its description in RNAcentral is "partial 16S ribosomal RNA". It matches the Rfam family "Bacterial small subunit ribosomal RNA", at positions 524 to 776 of the family's 1533-position model. The record is from RNAcentral.